GCUUACAAGCAAUGUUUUCGAAGUGUCACACUCCGAUUUUCUUAAAAAUUAGUGUGAGGCAGGGAAAAGGUGUCAUGAUAACCAAACAAACGUCCAUUUUUGCCCUAAUUGCCCAGGAGCUGCGUUACACGCAUUUCAAAUUUGGAAAUUUAUGCAACUUCACGACAUGUAUGUUUCGCAUGCUGCAUACUUACCUAUAUGAAGCACAUUAUGUCAUAUGGUAAGUAUGCAGCACGCGAAACAGCGAAGUCAUGAAGUUGCAUAAAUUUCCAAAUUAGAAACGCUUGUAACGCAGCCCAUGAUCAACUUAUAAUUUUAAUAUAAUAAUAUACCUUUAUUCCUUUAAUUUACGAAUGAAGAUACUUUAUACAUUUUCUAAAAAUGUUGUGAAAUAAUGAAAUUAGUUAUUUCUAUUCUAUUUAUAAAUAAAAGUAAUAAUAUCUUCAUGUGAAGAACUAUUUUGCCAUACUACAAGAGUAGUUUGAAUAAAUCGAAAUUUCGGAUAUUAUCAAAUGGCAAAUAUUGAAAUAAAAAACGUUGUAAAUUCUUUUUGAUAGCUUUCAUAUUUAUAUAAAACGAUAUAAAAUAUUUAUUUAUUCUAAACUCUUUAUAGAAUUUACACCAAACAAAAACGUAAAUAAUUGCACAAAUAAAAGCGUAGAUAUAUUAAAAAUAUCUAGAUAUUUCAGUUUUUGGAUUCACUUGGCAUUCUCACAGUAAUGGAAUGACCAGAGGUGCUCGAAGCAAAGUAAUUGGAGACACCAAGCACACUUCAAGAAGAACCUUUUGGUACAUCCAUUUUCUCCGCAGGUUCCAGUUUCUGUUGAAAAGCAGAACUGUGCCGGGGUCUCAAAUGCUGGGGGCCUGGUCGGUCCAAGGUAACCGGCUUUCCAAAAGCCGUACUGGAUUGCCGCUUGGAAUCGUGGAGCGCUGAAUUGGUUCAUAGAUAUGGACACUAGCUUGAUUAUGGAGUUUCGCUCUGACAGUGUCACAUCAACUCCCAUUGCAAUGAUGCGAUCUGAAAAUUUUCGCAGGAAGCACUUUAGGGGUCUAUUGAAAUAGACAUCUUGCGGCUGCACCCAUCCAGUUGUGCCUGCAGGGAUUUCAGCUAUUGUUACUGACUUGGCCAAAGGCAAGUUGUCCAGAAGCUCGUCGUUCCACCAACCAAACCAUUUGUCCCUCAGAAAUCCUGACUUGCUUUUUAGCAAGUAAAACUAAAUUGGGAGGCCGGAAAAUCUUCUUUAACACAGAGGGGCCAAAUUUCCCAGUUGUUUCCUGCAGAAUCAGCAAACUAGGGGAGUGUAGGCGGCCGUCAGCGGAUGUGACAGGAAGUAUGGUAGAUGAGUGCGUAAGAGCAUGUUUGCUUUGUAUCAACUGAAACAAUAUAAUUCAAUUCAUUUUAUUGACUUAAGGCAUGAAAUUACUAACAAAAAAAUAAUAAUUUAAUAAUAUUUUUUAUAAUCUUUAUAAAAAAUUAAACCGCUCCUUGAUGUCUUUUAAUGAGAAUCAUGGUAUAUUUUAAUAUUCAAUCAAAUAUCAUUGAUAAAUAUUAAAAUUGUAACAAUAAGUAUGUAAUUUUAUAUAGAUAUAUAUUUUUUAUAACAUACCUUCCAAACAUUGCUGGCUCCUAUCAAGUCAAGGGUUCUCCCGGUGUGAAUUUCUCUCACAAGUCCCAUGUGAUCCGCGUUGAACACAUUCGAUGCGCCUAUCUCCUUGACUAGUGCAGCCCCGUCUUUGACAAAUUCUUUCCCUUGCUGAAUGAGCUCCUCUUCUCUCUCGAUAGAAGCUUUCGUCAUAAACUUUGUGACUUUGCGAUCACCAACUCCAAAUCGCCUUUUCCAGUUGUAAACAAACGAGCGUGAUGCAAAGAAGUUUGUCAAUUUAGCUGUUUUUCCUUCAUCAGCAGCCCACUCCAUGAGAUCACAGUCAUGUAUCAAAUAUCCAUUUUCACGCGCAUUGUCGAAGCGUCUCUUCACGGCUGCAACAUAUAUAUUUUUUUAUUUAUUAAAAAAUUAUUUUACAACAUUUCAUAAUAAUAACAAAUAAAAAUAUCAAUUGACAUUUACAGUUCCAUUAAUAUAAUAAUAAUUAUAGUUAUGUAAUUUAAAUCUUUCUUUAUUAAUUAGAAUUUUUUAAAUCUUUAAUAUUUUUUAUUUUAAUUUAUAAAUUUAUUAUUAAUUUAAAAAAAUUAACAGUUUCUUCAUAAUUAUUUAAAUAUAUUUUCUUAUUAAUAGUUUGAAUGCUGAAACUUGAGGUUUUAUGUUACCUAAAUAUACAGCAGCUAAUUUGUUCAGUCUAUCUCCUCCAUUUUCCAGCUGCGAUUUCCAUCUGUAUAGUUGUCUCCUACUCGUGACGUAUCUAAAGCGGUGCUGCACAGAUUCAAUAGGACGAAGUUUUCCUUUUGUGGCUCUCCAGUAGUUAACAGCAUUUUGCUUUUCCUUCAGACUAACAACAAUUUGUACUGCACCUAAAGGGUUGUCAUCAUCUGGGCAGUACUCGGCGUUGUCGCCCUCAAUUUGUUCAGCGUGUUGCCCACGUGGAUGAAUCGAGUGUCUUGUUUCCAGAGUAUUGUCAUGAACAUCGUAAUCAUUUUGCGUUUCCAGUGAGUCAACCAAGUCGUCAAUUAGGAGUUCACUAGUAGUCUCAUGCUGAUAGUCGAGUGUAGUUUCUUGGAUAAUUUUGUCAAUGCUGUUGAAGUCACAUAUUAUUGCUAAAAAAAAAAAGGAAGUUGCUUGUUUUAAAAACUUGUCAUUCAAUUAAUAAUAGUGAAUAUUACCCUUCAGAUGGCUGGUCAAUUGUAAUUCGAUUAGGGUAGGAACUGUGGUUUUCAAAGUAUCAAAUCCACAGUCGUAAAUCAAUUGUUGUAUAACGUUGUGAACAGAAAUUAUUUGAUCACUCAUUUUCAAUAAAUAAAAAACACAUCUAUUUCCUCGUGUGUUUUUCCAAGAACUGAUUUUAUGGACUGAUUGUGAAUUGAGGGUGAAGUUGGUUCGACCGUGCUCUGGAAUGCGCUCCCUGCAUUCUUAAAAUUACUAGAGCACCCUGCAAGUUUUGCAUGGGCACUUCGUCCUUAUGUUGUUAUGUUUAUACAGAACUUGUUCCAAGGUCGCAGAAAAGUUCAUCGUCGGUGGCAGAUAAAUUCCAAUAAAUUCAAUACGGCCAUAAAAGGGAAGAAGAAUAAAAAUCGUCAAAAUUGCACAUUAUUAUUCUUCAUAAAGCCACAAUUUUUGUUGAACUUUUUUUAAAUGCAAAAUUAAAUUGGCAAAACAAUUUAAAUUAAAUUUUAAUUACAAGUAAAAUUAAAUUUCAAUAUUUUCAAUAAAAUUUAAAUAUAAUAUUUUCAUUCAAAUCUAAUUUUAACAUAAUAUAUUUGAAGAUUUAGUUUUCUAAAUUUAAUUAACAUUUUUAAAUAAUUAUAAUUAAAAAAAACAUCGAUUAAAUAAAGCAUCAGAAAACUGAAUUUUAACCUAAAAUUCUUGAUUCAAAAAUUUAAGAAAAUAUUGAUUAAAAAAAUGGUCAUUUAACUCUUUAAGAUAGAUGAUAUUUUUGCAAGGGCUCAAUUUCUUUUUAAAUUGCAAAUAUACGCCAAGAUCAAAAUAACCAAAAUAGCAUUCUUUUCCGAGCCGUUUUUCAAUGAUAUUGUCUAUGCUAUGAUCACUAAAAAUCUAUUCCUGUUAAGAGUAAUAAAACA
This is a long non-coding RNA of Neocloeon triangulifer, 3691 nucleotides long. RefSeq lists it as uncharacterized. The record is from RefSeq and is a predicted model, not a curated record. Lineage: Eukaryota; Metazoa; Arthropoda; Insecta; Ephemeroptera; Baetidae. The transcript is spliced from 2 exons.